AUGGCUCUUGGACCUGAUGGAAUUCCUAUAGAGUUCUUAUCAGUACUCAAACAUGACCCGCUGACUCCUUUUUAUGAUUUCUACGUGCACAAGUUGGAUCUACGCCAAAUAAUUAACUUCGAGGCUAUAAAUCUACUACCUAAAAUUGAUGAUGCUGAAACCAUUCAGUUGCCGAGAAGAAGUGGUUCUAGACCUUCUGUUGACACACAUAAAAGGUGUUUCAAGCCAUAUUCGCUCAUACACGCAUGGUAUGAAGGGCCCAUGGCUAGGCUAACAAUUUCCUUAAGUGUGCCACCCCUGGUUUCCUUAUAA
RNAcentral lists this ribosomal RNA (312 nucleotides) under Triticum aestivum (bread wheat). RNAcentral's name for it is "partial small subunit ribosomal RNA". The record is from RNAcentral. Lineage: Eukaryota; Viridiplantae; Streptophyta; Magnoliopsida; Poales; Poaceae.